RNAcentral lists this ribosomal RNA (403 nucleotides) under uncultured Eubacteriales bacterium. Its description in RNAcentral is "bacterial SSU rRNA". It matches the Rfam family "Bacterial small subunit ribosomal RNA", at positions 342 to 764 of the family's 1533-position model. The record is from RNAcentral. Lineage: Bacteria; Bacillati; Bacillota; Clostridia; Eubacteriales.
CGGGAGGCAGCAGUGGGGAAUUUUGCACAAUGGGGGCAACCCUGAUGCAGCGACGCCGCGUGAUUUAGAAGGCCUUCGGGUUGUAAAAAUCUUUUGUAUAGGAAGAAAAUGACAGUACUAUACGAAUAAGGUCCGGCUAAUUACGUGCCAGCAGCCGCGGUAAUACGUAAGGACCGAGCGUUGUCCGGAAUCAUUGGGCGUAAAGGGUACGUAGGCGGUUAGAAAAGUUAGAAGUGAAAGGCUAUAGCUCAACUAUAGUAAGCUUUUAAAACUGUUUAACUUGAGAGAUGGAAGGGAAAGUGGAAUUCCUAGUGUAGCGGUGAAAUGCGCAGAUAUUAGGAGGAAUACCGGUGGCGAAGGCGACUUUCUGGCCAUUAUCUGACGCUGAGGUACGAAAGCGUGG